Molecule: long non-coding RNA, 313 nt
Organism: Manis pentadactyla (Chinese pangolin)
Lineage: Eukaryota; Metazoa; Chordata; Mammalia; Pholidota; Manidae
Exons: 2
Source: RefSeq, a predicted model, not a curated record
CGAAGUGGUGCUGCCAUCGGAUCUUUUCAACCUGCUCCUCCGGGUUGUGGUGCCUCGGGCCACCUGGACUCGACACACGGGGCCAGAGAGAAGCCGGCACAGAGAACCUCAAGAGACAAGAGAGGGAGGCAAGCAACCAGACACAGGACUACCAAAUAAAUGACAUGGACUGAGUCCUAUCAAGACUUGUCACCUUUCCUCUAUUAGAAUCGGUUACAUCUGAAACAAACAAAAAAAUGCAGUUUCCUCUCUUGCAUGUGUGACUAUAAAAAUAGUUCAAACUCUUAUUUUAAUAAAUAUAAAUUGUAAAGCU